UGGACCAAUGAGGAGAGUAUUUACUGAGCUGAGGAUUAUGAUUAACCCACUUCAGAGUGUGUCUGGGUUCCAAA
RNAcentral lists this small nucleolar RNA (74 nucleotides) under Myotis lucifugus (little brown bat). RNAcentral describes it as "Small nucleolar RNA SNORD112 (ENSMLUG00000021847.1)". Lineage: Eukaryota; Metazoa; Chordata; Mammalia; Chiroptera; Vespertilionidae. The record is from RNAcentral.